Molecule: ribosomal RNA, 253 nt
Filed under: uncultured bacterium
Lineage: Bacteria
Description: partial 16S ribosomal RNA
Rfam family: Bacterial small subunit ribosomal RNA
Source: RNAcentral
UACGAAGGGGGCUAGCGUUGCUCGGAAUCACUGGGCGUAAAGCGCACGUAGGCGGACUCUUAAGUCGGGGGUGAAAGCCCAGGGCUCAACCCUGGAACUGCCUUCGAUACUGGGAGUCUUGAGUGUGGAAGAGGUUGGUGGAACUGCGAGUGUAGAGGUGAAAUUCGUAGAUAUUCGCAAGAACACCAGUGGCGAAGGCGGCAUCCUGGACCGGUAUUGACGCUGAGGCGCGAAAGCCAGGGGAGCAAACGGG